CGAACGCUGGCGGCGUGCUUAACACAUGCAAGUCGAACGUAAAGGCCCUGCUUUUGUGGGGUGCUCGAGUGGCGAACGGGUGAGUAACACGUGAGUAACCUGCCCUUGACUUUGGGAUAACUUCAGGAAACUGGGGCUAAUACCGGAUAGGAGCUCCUGCUGCAUGGUGGGGGUUGGAAAGUUUCGGCGGUUGGGGAUGGACUCGCGGCUUAUCAGCUUGUUGGUGGGGUAGUGGCUUACCAAGGCUUUGACGGGUAGCCGGCCUGAGAGGGUGACCGGCCACAUUGGGACUGAGAUACGGCCCAGACUCCUACGGGAGGCAGCAGUGGGGAAUAUUGCACAAUGGGCGGAAGCCUGAUGCAGCAACGCCGCGUGCGGGAUGACGGCCUUCGGGUUGUAAACCGCUUUCGCCUGUGACGAAGCGUGAGUGACGGUAAUGGGUAAAGAAGCACCGGCUAACUACGUG
RNAcentral lists this ribosomal RNA (466 nucleotides) under uncultured bacterium. Its description in RNAcentral is "partial 16S ribosomal RNA". It matches the Rfam family "Bacterial small subunit ribosomal RNA", at positions 30 to 507 of the family's 1533-position model. The record is from RNAcentral.